UGGGGAAUUUUGGACAAUGGGGGCAACCCUGAUCCAGCAAUGCCGCGUGAGUGAAGAAGGCCUUCGGGUUGUAAAGCUCUUUUGUCAGGGAAGAAACGGCUGAGGAUAAUACCUUCGGCUAAUGACGGUACCUGAAGAAUAAGCACCGGCUAACUACGUGCCAGCAGCCGCGGUAAUACGUAGGGUGCAAGCGUUAAUCGGAAUUACUGGGCGUAAAGCGUGCGCAGGCGGUUUUGUAAGUCUGUCGUGAAAUCCCCGGGCUCAACCUGGGAAUUGCGAUGGAGACUGCAAGGCUGGAGUCUGGCAGAGGGGGGUAGAAUUCCACGUGUAGCAGUGAAAUGCGUAGAGAUGUGGAGGAACACCGAUGGCGAAGGCAGCCCCCUGGGUCAAGACUGACGCUCAUGCACGAAAGCGUGGGGAGCAAACA
Molecule: ribosomal RNA, 427 nt
Filed under: uncultured Massilia sp.
Lineage: Bacteria; Pseudomonadati; Pseudomonadota; Betaproteobacteria; Burkholderiales; Oxalobacteraceae
Description: bacterial SSU rRNA
Rfam family: Bacterial small subunit ribosomal RNA
Source: RNAcentral